CAAUAGCGUAUAUUUAAGUUGUUGCAGUUAAAAAGCUCGUAGUUGGAUUUCGGAUGGGACUUGCCGGUCCGUCGUUUCGAUGUGCACUGGCCAGUCCUAUCUUGUUGUCGGGGACUAGCUCCUGGGCUUCACUGUCCGAGACUAGGAGCUGACGAGGUUACUUUGAGUAAAUUAGAGUGUUCAAAGCAAGCCUACGCUCUGAAUACAUUAGCAUGGAAUAACACGAUAGGACUCUGGCUUAUCUUGUUGGUCUGUGAGACCAGAGUAAUGAUUAAGAGGGACAGUCGGGGGCAUUCGUAUUUCAUUGUCAGAGGUGAAAUUCUUGGAUUUAUGAAAGACGAACUUCUGCGAAAGCAUUUGUCAAGGAUGUUUUCAUUAA
Molecule: ribosomal RNA, 379 nt
Filed under: uncultured eukaryote
Lineage: Eukaryota
Description: partial 18S ribosomal RNA
Rfam family: Eukaryotic small subunit ribosomal RNA
Source: RNAcentral